Molecule: ribosomal RNA, 323 nt
Filed under: uncultured eukaryote
Lineage: Eukaryota
Description: partial 18S ribosomal RNA
Rfam family: Eukaryotic small subunit ribosomal RNA
Source: RNAcentral
CCCUUAGAUGUUCUGGGCCGCACGCGCGCUACACUGAUGCAUGCAACGAGUUCUAUCCUUGGCCGGAAGGCCUGGGUAAUCUGUGAACGUGCAUCGUGAUAGGGAUAGAUUAUUGCAAUUAUUAAUCUUGAACGAGGAAUUUCUAGUAAACGCAAGUCAUCAGCUUGCAUUGAUUACGUCCCUGCCCUUUGUACACACCGCCCGUCGCACCUACCGAUCGAAGGUAAUGAUGAGCCCUCAGGAUUGUGGCCUCGUCGCGUCAGCGUCUUGGCUGCGAGAAUCUGUGCAAAUCCCUACCUUUAGAGGAAGGUGAAGUCGUANCA